AGUGAACGCUGGCGGUAGGCCUAACACAUGCAAGUCGAACGGCAGCACAGUAAGAGCUUGCUCUUACGGGUGGCGAGUGGCGGACGGGUGAGGAAUACAUCGGAAUCUACUUUUUCGUGGGGGAUAACGUAGGGAAACUUACGCUAAUACCGCAUACGACCUACGGGUGAAAGCAGGGGAUCUUCGGACCUUGCGCGAUUGAAUGAGCCGAUGUCGGAUUAGCUAGUUGGCGGGGUAAAGGCCCACCAAGGCGACGAUCCGUAGCUGGUCUGAGAGGAUGAUCAGCCACACUGGAACUGAGACACGGUCCAGACUCCUACGGGAGGCAGCAGUGGGGAAUAUGGGACAAUGGCGCAAGCCUGAUCCAGCCAUACCGCGUGGGUGAAGAAGGCCUUCGGGUUGUAAAGCCCUUUUGUUGGGAAAGAAAAGCAGCAGGUUAAUACCCCGCUGUUCUGACGGUACCCAAAGAAUAAGCACCGGCUAACUUCGUG
This 491-nucleotide ribosomal RNA is filed under the name uncultured bacterium. RNAcentral's name for it is "partial 16S ribosomal RNA". It matches the Rfam family "Bacterial small subunit ribosomal RNA", at positions 29 to 507 of the family's 1533-position model. The record is from RNAcentral.